Molecule: ribosomal RNA, 465 nt
Filed under: Vreelandella stevensii
Lineage: Bacteria; Pseudomonadati; Pseudomonadota; Gammaproteobacteria; Oceanospirillales; Halomonadaceae
Description: partial 16S ribosomal RNA
Rfam family: Bacterial small subunit ribosomal RNA
Source: RNAcentral
CCUACGGGAGGCUGCAGUGGGGAAUAUUGGACAAUGGGGGGAACCCUGAUCCAGCCAUGCCGCGUGUGUGAAGAAGGCCCUCGGGUUGUAAAGCACUUUCAGUGAGGAAGAACGCCUGGUGGUUAAUACCCAUCAGGAAAGACAUCACUCACAGAAGAAGCACCGGCUAACUCCGUGCCAGCAGCCGCGGUAAUACGGAGGGUGCGAGCGUUAAUCGGAAUUACUGGGCGUAAAGCGCGCGUAGGUGGCUUGAUAAGCCGGUUGUGAAAGCCCCGGGCUCAACCUGGGAACGACAUCCGGAACUGUCAAGCUAGAGUGCAGGAGAGGAAGGUAGAAUUCCCGGUGUAGCGGUGAAAUGCGUAGAGAUCGGGAGGAAUACCAGUGGCGAAGGCGGCCUUCUGGACUGACACUGACACUGAGGUGCGAAAGCGUGGGUAGCAAACAGGAUUAGAUACCCCUGUAGUC